Molecule: small RNA, 28 nt
Filed under: Bombyx mori (domestic silkworm)
Lineage: Eukaryota; Metazoa; Arthropoda; Insecta; Lepidoptera; Bombycidae
Description: ovarian small RNA-23081
Source: RNAcentral
UAGUGUAGGAUGCCCUCCUGCUGGAUGG